CAGUCACAUCACGUUGAAAUAUUGGUUCCCCUAUGAUCACUGAAGUUAAGCAACAUCCACCUAGGUCAGUACCUAAAUGGGUGACCACUUGGGAAUACCAGGUAGUGUAA
This is a non-coding RNA of Acanthosepion pharaonis, 110 nucleotides long. The record is from the annotation of a GenBank genome assembly. NCBI's taxonomy places the organism in Eukaryota, Metazoa, Mollusca, Cephalopoda, Sepiida, Sepiidae.